CCCACGAUGAUUCUGUCACUGAGAUGUCAUUGUAUUUCAGCCAGCUUUUCCGAGGCUGGUCAUAUAUGAAGGCCCAGUAGUGACCAGCAUUUGCUUGCCCUUCAUGCACCAAGACAGCGUGCAAGUGAUAAGGAACCUGCUGGAGGUGAGGGUCGCUGUACAUUUCGUCAAUGGAUAGGCUGAUUCUGGCGAUGGACUCCUUCAGAUCUCGCACAUCUUGCUCAAUCUCAU
This 231-nucleotide long non-coding RNA is filed under the name Gallus gallus (chicken). The record is from RNAcentral. Lineage: Eukaryota; Metazoa; Chordata; Aves; Galliformes; Phasianidae.